Molecule: ribosomal RNA, 356 nt
Filed under: uncultured bacterium
Lineage: Bacteria
Description: bacterial SSU rRNA
Rfam family: Bacterial small subunit ribosomal RNA
Source: RNAcentral
AACGAACGCUGGCGGCAUGCCUAACACAUGCAAGUCGAACGAGACCUUCGGGUCUAGUGGCGCACGGGUGCGUAACACGUGGGAAUUUGCCUCGGGGUAUGGAAUAACUCAGGGAAACCUGAGCUAAUACCAUAUAAUGUCUUCGGACCAAAGAUUUAUCGCCCUGAGAUAAGCCCGCGUAGGAUUAGCUAGUUGGUGGGUAAAGGCUCACCAAGGCGACGAUCCUUAGCUGGUCUGAGAGGAUGAUCAGCCACACUGGGACUGAGACACGGCCCAGACUCCUACGGAGGCAGCAGUGGGGAAUAUUGGACAAUGGGCGAAAGCCUGAUCCAGCAAUGCCGCGUGAGUGAUGAAGG